AAAGUUUCAAAAUUUAUAGUUCUGUGGAUAUUAUAGGAUAAAUAAAGUUUAAAGAUAAGGGACAAAGCCACAGAAUGAAAUGAAAUAAAAAGGCGAUAACUCAAAAACGGAAAGGAUUUAAAAAGAGAACUUGGCAUUACCAGAUUCAUAAAAUCUGCGUGGAUUCCAUAAUAAAAAAAUCUGUACAUCAAUUAUAAAUAUUGAAGCUUUUACCCUGAUACUAUUUUAGGUGUUUCACUGAAGCAAAGAAAUGAUACGCUUGAAGCUACGGAAGAAACUGUUGAAGUUAAGACAUCUUAUAAUUUACACAUGGAGAGAUUAUUCUACCAAAAACAUCAAUACCUCAUCGUCAGAUGUUUUGACGUCAUUAUUGUCAUCAUACGAGUAACCAACACCUGCAGGUGAUUCAAGGUAAAGAACGUUUGCAAUCUUGUU
Molecule: non-coding RNA, 435 nt
Organism: Ciona intestinalis (vase tunicate)
Lineage: Eukaryota; Metazoa; Chordata; Ascidiacea; Phlebobranchia; Cionidae
Source: RefSeq, a predicted model, not a curated record